CUACGGGAGGCAGCAGUGGGGAAUAUUGCGCAAUGGGGGAAACCCUGACGCAGCGACGCCGCGUGAGCGAAGAAGGCCUUAGGGUUGUAAAGCUCUGUUUUAAGGGACGAAUGUUACGGGGAGUAAUAUGCCCUGUAAAUGACGGUACCUUAAGAGGAAGCCCCGGCUAACUACGUGCCAGCAGCCGCGGUAAGACGUAGGGGGCGAGCGUUGUCCGGAAUUACUGGGCGUAAAGAGCACGUAGGCGGGAACUUAAGUCAGGUGUGAAAGACCGGGGCUCAACUCCGGGGUGGCACUUGAAACUGGGUUUCUUGAGGGCAGGAGAGGAAAGCAGAAUUCCUGGUGUAGCGGUGAAAUGCGUAGAAAUCAGGAGGAAUACCAGUGGCGAAGGCGGCUUUCUGGACUGACCCUGACGCUGAGGUGCGAAAGCGUGGGUAGCAAACAGGAUUAGAUACCCCGGUAGA
This 464-nucleotide ribosomal RNA is filed under the name uncultured bacterium. RNAcentral describes it as "bacterial SSU rRNA". It matches the Rfam family "Bacterial small subunit ribosomal RNA", at positions 339 to 794 of the family's 1533-position model. The record is from RNAcentral.